GCCUACUGCACUGCCUUGCAUGUGUACCUUAAUCAAAUUACAAAAAGCAAGAUACAGUCACGGUCAAGAUCCUUAUUUUGCAUUCAGCGAAAAGAAAAGAACCUGGUUAGAUGUGAUACCUUUUCUUCGGAGCUUCUUCACCCUCGAAUCUCAUCUUUGAAACGCUUGCCUACAGACAGCUUCUGGCUCUUAGCUUCGAGAUACCUAUUGUCCUACUUGUCCUGAUAAUAAAAGAUAUGUCAGCUUGGGUUUGCAGUCAAAUGAUUAUCAUCGAGCAUAUGCAAGCAACAGUACUAAAAAGGAACAAUGAGAUGAAAACAAAUGGUUGAUGCCUGUUUAAG
This 341-nucleotide long non-coding RNA is filed under the name Brassica napus (rape). RNAcentral describes it as "long non-coding RNA (BNAP_LNC025966)". The record is from RNAcentral. Lineage: Eukaryota; Viridiplantae; Streptophyta; Magnoliopsida; Brassicales; Brassicaceae.